Molecule: ribosomal RNA, 607 nt
Filed under: uncultured bacterium
Lineage: Bacteria
Description: bacterial SSU rRNA
Rfam family: Bacterial small subunit ribosomal RNA
Source: RNAcentral
CCUACGGGAGGCAGCAGUGAGGAAUAUUGGACAAUGGGCGCAAGCCUGAUCCAGCCAUGCCGCGUGCAGGAUGACGGUCCUAUGGAUUGUAAACUGCUUUUAUACGGGAAGAAACCCUGGCUCGUGAGCCAGAUUGACGGUACCGUAAGAAUAAGGAUCGGCUAACUCCGUGCCAGCAGCCGCGGUAAUACGGAGGAUCCAAGCGUUAUCCGGAAUCAUUGGGUUUAAAGGGUCCGUAGGCGGUUUAAUAAGUCAGUGGUGAAAGCCCAUCGCUCAACGGUGGAACGGCCAUUGAUACUGUUAGACUUGAAUUAUUAGGAAGUAACUAGAAUAUGUAGUGUAGCGGUGAAAUGCUUAGAGAUUACAUGGAAUACCAAUUGCGAAGGCAGGUUACUACUAAUUGAUUGACGCUGAUGGACGAAAGCGUGGGUAGCGAACAGGAUUAGAUACCCUGGUAGUCCACGCCGUAAACGAUGGAUACUAGCUGUUGGGAGUAAUCUCAGUGGCUAAGCGAAAGUGAUAAGUAUCCACCUGGGGAGUACGUUCGCAAGAAUGAAACUCAAAUGAGUAGAGNGNGAGAGNGACGACGACGACGACGAGGAGGAGG